GGGAAACGUAUUCCGCUCGCUCAGGGAA
RNAcentral lists this small RNA (28 nucleotides) under Bombyx mori (domestic silkworm). RNAcentral describes it as "ovarian small RNA-17483". Lineage: Eukaryota; Metazoa; Arthropoda; Insecta; Lepidoptera; Bombycidae. The record is from RNAcentral.